GGAUAACCUGGUAAUUCUAUGGCUAAUACAUGCGCACAUACCUCUUCCCUCGUGGAAGGGUAGUGUUUAUUAGAUACAGAACCAACCCACCUUCGGGUGGUCCCCAGGUGAUUCAUAGUAACCGAACGGAUCGCAUUAUGACCUUUUGGUCGGCGAUGGAUCAUUCAAGUUUCUGACCUAUCAGCUUUCGACGGUACUGUAUUGGACUACCGUGGCAGUGACGGGUAACGGGGAAUUAGGGUUCGAUUCCGGAGAGGGAGCCUGAGAAACGGCUACCACAUCUAAGGAAGGCAGCAGGCGCGCAAAUUACCCAAUCCUGACUCAGGGAGGUAGUGACAAGAAAUAACAACACUGGAAAUUAUAUUUCUAGUGAUUGGAAUGAUGGGAAUCCAAACCCCUUUCAGAGUAACAAUUGGAGGGCAAGUCUGGUGCCAGCAGCCGCGGUAAUUCCAGCUCCAAUAGCGUAUAUUAAAGUUGUUGCAGUUAAAAAGCUCGUAGUUGGAUAUCUGCUGGGAGCAGCCAGUCCGCCUUAACGGGUGUGCACUUGGUGAAUUCUGGCAUCCUCCUGAUUGGUGUCAUCAUCACUUCAUUGUGUUGGUGGCAGCUGUCAGGACUGUUACUUUGAGAAAAUUAGAGUGUUUCAAGCAGGCUUGUUGCCUUGAAUACUGCAGCAUGGAAUAACAAGAUAGGAUUUCGGUUCUAUUUUGUUGGUUUCUAGGACUGAAGUAAUGAUUAAUAGGGACAGUUGGGGGCAUUCGUAUUUAACUGUCAGAGGUGAAAUUCUUAGAUUUGUUAAAGACGAACUACUGCGAAAGCAUUUGCC
This 823-nucleotide ribosomal RNA is filed under the name Sarcocystis sp. MT1. RNAcentral's name for it is "SSU rRNA". It matches the Rfam family "Eukaryotic small subunit ribosomal RNA", at positions 141 to 959 of the family's 1831-position model. The record is from RNAcentral. Lineage: Eukaryota; Apicomplexa; Conoidasida; Eucoccidiorida; Sarcocystidae.